Myotis lucifugus (little brown bat) is the source of this 597-nucleotide long non-coding RNA. RefSeq lists it as uncharacterized. The transcript is spliced from 3 exons. The record is from RefSeq and is a predicted model, not a curated record. NCBI's taxonomy places the organism in Eukaryota, Metazoa, Chordata, Mammalia, Chiroptera, Vespertilionidae.
GGCGGCCGUGGGGGUGCCCCCCUGGAGAGGAGCAGAGAUACACGUGCCAUGUGCAGCACGAGGGGCUACCCGAACUCCUGACCCUGAGAUGGGAGCCGCCUUCUCAGACCUUCAUCUUCAUCAUCAUCAUGGGCAUCGCUGGGGGCCUGGUUCUGCUGGGAGCUGUGGCUGGAGCUGUGAUGUGGGGGAGGAGGCGAUUAGGUGGUGAAGGGGUGGGGCCUGAGUGUGCACUCUAGGCAGUGACAGCGGCCAGGGCUCUGAUGUGUCUCUCUCCGCUUCUAAAGCGGGAGGCAGCUGCCUUGUGGGGACUGAGUGAUGGAAGAUGUGUUCACCCUCCCACUUCCUGACUCAAGAACCUCUGAUGGGGGCUGGCCCCGCCCUGCUCCCCACACUUUCUGGUCCAGCAGAGGCGCACUGGGCCCUCACUAUCACUGUCUUUACUUCCUCAUAUUCGAGGCUGCAAGCUAUUCCUUCCGCAUUGAAAUGAGGUUGUGGAUGUGACUUUGUUCAUUUCUUGCCAUAAAGGGUUGGUGGGUAAAUUCAAGGAGAAGAUUCUACAUUUUGAGGGAAAAUAAAUAUAAACACCAAGAACUUUCC